RNAcentral lists this transfer RNA (77 nucleotides) under Acidovorax temperans. RNAcentral describes it as "tRNA-Val". It matches the Rfam family "tRNA". From Rfam's summary of the family: Transfer RNA (tRNA) molecules are approximately 80 nucleotides in length. Their secondary structure includes four short double-helical elements and three loops (D, anti-codon, and T loops). Further hydrogen bonds mediate the characteristic L-shaped molecular structure. tRNAs have two regions of fundamental functional importance: the anti-codon, which is responsible for specific mRNA codon recognition, and the 3' end, to which the tRNAs corresponding amino acid is attached (by aminoacyl-tRNA synthetases). tRNAs cope with the degeneracy of the genetic code in two manners: having more than one tRNA (with a specific anti-codon) for a particular amino acid; and 'wobble' base-pairing, i.e. permitting non-standard base-pairing at the 3rd anti-codon position. The record is from RNAcentral. Lineage: Bacteria; Pseudomonadati; Pseudomonadota; Betaproteobacteria; Burkholderiales; Comamonadaceae. RNAcentral also lists the same sequence under 28 other names.
AGGCGCGUAGCUCAGCUGGUUAGAGCACCACCUUGACAUGGUGGGGGUCGUUGGUUCGAUUCCAAUCGCGCCUACCA